GUCCACGCCCUAAACGAUGUCAACUGGUUGUUGGACGGCUUGCUGUUCAGUAACGAAGCUAACGCGUGAAGUUGACCGCCUGGGGAGUACGGCCGCAAGGUUGAAACUCAAAGGAAAUUGACGGGGGACCCGGCACAAGCGGUGGGAUGAUGUGGUUUAAUUUCGAUGCAACGCGAAAACCUUAACCUACCCUUGACAUGCCAGGAACUUGCCAGAGAUGGCUUGGUGCUCGAAAGAGAACCUGGACACAGGUGCUGCAUGGCCGUCGU
RNAcentral lists this ribosomal RNA (269 nucleotides) under uncultured bacterium. RNAcentral's name for it is "partial 16S ribosomal RNA". It matches the Rfam family "Bacterial small subunit ribosomal RNA", at positions 793 to 1055 of the family's 1533-position model. The record is from RNAcentral.